AACGAACGCUGGCGGCAGGACCUAACACAUGCAAGUCGAACGAGAUCUUCGGAUCUAGUGGCGGACGGGUGAGUAACGCGUGGGAACGUGCCCUUCUCUACGGAAUAGUCCUGGGAAACUGGGUUUAAUACCGUAUACGCCCUUCGGGGGAAAGAAUUUCGGGGAAGGAUCGGCCCGCGUUGGAUUAGGUAAGUUCGGUGGGGGUAAUGGGCCUACCAAGCCGACGAUACCAUAGCUGGUUUGAGAGGAUGAUCAGCCACACUGGACUGAGACACGGCCCAGACUCCUACGGGA
RNAcentral lists this ribosomal RNA (294 nucleotides) under uncultured bacterium. RNAcentral describes it as "partial 16S ribosomal RNA". It matches the Rfam family "Bacterial small subunit ribosomal RNA", at positions 29 to 346 of the family's 1533-position model. The record is from RNAcentral.